UUAUGAUUUUAAACCAAUAGUACAAAUUAAAAACUUUUUGGACUUCAUUACACUUUUUUCUAACGGACCAAAAUUGCAGUUUAGUCCUCAUUUAACAAAACUCACGAUCUGGAGACGUACAAGUUAGAAUGGUUUUUAUUUUGGAAAGGUUUUAUAAAUAACCAUUGGAAUUGGGAAGCCAAAAGGUUUAGGUCGGUGUAUUGGCGCAUAAAAUAUACGUUACGUUCUCCACUCUUCCUUCUUCACUUCACUCUUCCCGCUUCGCUCUCCAAACACCGUCCGUCGGAGACGACUCAUCGCGACCUCCAUAACUCAGCUCACCGGAGACACAAGCACCCCCACCCUUCGUAGGACACUCACAACCAUGGUAAUAAUGAAUUUCUAUGCAAUGUAUCAUCCUUUGCAGACCAUGAAGCCUUUGAUCAUCUGUUACAUAUCCUAUCAAUAAGUUUGUGGAUCUUUUUGACAUGAACCAGUUACCCCUGCUUCUGAUCAUGAACCAAAUCCAUGGGAAUUGAAUAUGUCUAAUGUUUCUUCUGGUUAGCAUCUUGGCUUUUUGCUCAACAAAGUGGAUGUGGGAACCUCUUUGUUCUGCUGUGAUGCUUGAACAAGCAUCUUAUUGCUGUUACCUUUUAGCCAAACCAAUUAUAUUAAGAAAGUAUGGAUUUCAUCUUAUGAUCUAUACAAGAAAUGCGGUCAGGCAUUGCAAUUUUUGUUAAUAUUUUAAUAGAUAAUUUUCUUUAAUAUUUAUUCAUAAGAGCAAUGUAUUUGUAGCUACUCAUCCAAAAACAACAAUCGUUAACUUGAAGAAACACUAACAAUUUUUUUUUCUUAUUAUUUUCUUUUUAGUGGACAACAAAGGUAUUUCAAGAAAAACUUCAAUUUUUUGAGUACACAUCAUAUGGCAAGUGCAAUUGUGUUUGCCCAUGUUAUAUGUAUGUGGGGGAGAUUAGUAUUUAACAAAAUAAAAGAUAAGUUACUUUUUUGUUAAUGGUUUCCUUCCCUAGUCUCCUGAUGUCAUGGAUUUUCUUAAAGUGUAAGUAAUUUUUAGGGCUAAAGUCAAUAUAUAACAACUUGCUUUCAUUCAUUUGUGUUUUAUUUCAGCAUCCUAGUUUCAUUUCUUUCUAUUACAAUAUUCUACUUUCAACCUAUUCAUAUUAAGACAAAGAUGAAGUGCAAAUAUAUUUGUAUGAUGAUGAUGAUAUAAUCCUUACUCUCUUCUGCUUUUGGCAUGCAUUUGAGACACACAUUGCAAUUUUAUAUCCCACCCAAAAAGGUGGAAGGUGGGAUAGGGAGGGAUCCGUCUGAAUAAAAGACGAAAAUGACCUUCACAUAUCCUCAUCAUUUAAAAGUUUCUCGUCUAAAUUUUGAGUUGAUUUUUAUUAUUAUUAACAUUUAUAAGAUUUUGGCAGGAGAGAAGUAAUUGAUGAAGAAGGAUGGAUUCAAAUUACCACCUUCUAUGCACUGAUUACAUGCUCUGACAAAGCAUGGAAGCGAUAUGCAGGAAAUGGUGUGGUCUUUGAUAGAUUGAAACAUUAAGAACAGGUCGAUAGAUAUAAAGAGGAUCCUCUUCAUUCGGCUAUGAUGCUUGAACAAGCAUUUUAUUAUUGUUACUUUUUAGCCAAACCAAUUACAUUAAGUAUGGAUUUCAUUUUUAAAAUCAAACAUAUUAAGUCGUUGUUUUAAUUUCUUUUUUCUAGUAAGACAAGGUAAUUCUAUUUUUUUUUUUUUUUUUUGAAAAACUAACUACUUAUAAUAUUGUACUUUCAGUUUUAAAAUUUCGAAAUCCAACAUAUUAACACACACUUAACACAAUGUACCUUUUUUUUUCUUUCUUCUAUGUCUUUUUAUUUUGAAUGUUAACCUUUUAAUAAUAUUAUACUUCUAAAAUCUAAAUUUGUUUUGCCUUGUUUCAAAGGUUUAUUUCAGAUUCUUGCACAUGUUUUGUAAAUUUUUGGUUUUGAUUUUUUGUCAUGUUGAAAAUAUUUUGGCUUCCUACAUAUGAAAUUUUUAGUUGAAGUUGGCUACUAGUUUCACAGAUGGAUUGAACAUACCUAAUUUUCCCUUAUAGGCUUAUACAUACAUGUUCAUAUCAGUUUAUCUUUCUAAUGUUGUGAUUUGUUUAAUUGUACAUACACCUGAGAUUGAGAUUCUUCAUUUGUCAAACCAUAUUAAGGAGAAGCUGAAACAAGUUGGUUGAUGAAAUGGUCUAGCAUUCCCUACUCUUUACAUCUAUAUUUAUGUUAUUUUCAGAAGUUUGUCUUCAUUGGAGGAGCUUCCAAGAUCCGUCUCUUGCAAAUGGAACACCUUCAUCUUCAUUCAGAGGAUACUUGAUACAGUUACUACUUCAUAAGACAUCAUUUGGGCAGCGGGCAGCAAAUCAACACGCAGAGGCAAAAAACUCACGGACCCUGCCCGAGAUCAAGUUUUAUAAAAAAUCUCUUGGUCUGGUCUGCCCGGGAAACAACCUCCCAAAACUCUUCUGUGACCAAUCUUGCCUUGUAGAUGGUCAAAGUCAAAGUCAAGGUUAAAAUGAAAUGCCCGCCCCCUCUAGUGAGCCCGAUUUUGCUGCAAAACUGUGGGUGAUCCGAAGAAUAAUUUGGAUAUGUAAUCCCACCGACUCCAUCGCCAUUCCCUAUACAACUUCUUUUUCUUGUACAUAUUCCACCUUACAGUCGAUUUUGUUCUCCAUACGAACCAUCGGAUUGCUUCAAUCGAUUUAGAAGAGGUCACAACAGGUGGAGAUCAAAUACAAAGGUCUAAACCUAAAUCGGGAAAGAUGCGGCGCUUGACAGUUUUUGAGCUUGUAUUCGGGUUUCAAUGCGACGGAGGUGUUCAACUUGGCGCCAACCAUGGUCGAUGCAGAACGGUUAUGUCUCGGUUCCGGCGACAGCACACAGUUUCUCCAUCAGAAGGUAACUAGGUUAGAAGAUUAUCAAAUUAGACAUUGGAGUCACUCAUGAAGAUAUAGCGGUAACGCAACUAUCAACUAUCAACUUGACAAUUAAUUUGGGUGUCAUGAACUAUUUUCAGUUGAAAGAGAUCCAAGUAACUUUACAUCAUCAGAAGUAAAGCACCAAGCAGGAAUCCCAAGAUGAUCAAACAAAUCCUUUUUCUGAUCAGAUACAUCAUGAUUGGUUAGAAUAUAGUGAAAAAAUCUGAUUGAAUCAUCUACCUCUUUAUCCAAAGACUUGGAGGGAUCCAAGAAAGUUGACGUUGCAAUGAGUUCGAAAGCAUUAAUAUGCCUAGGUCAUUGCUUUGAUCUUUUUCUGAAUCAUUAGGUUGAAAAAACCAAAAAAACGAUAAAUGAAAAUAUGUAUUAUAAGACACUCUGUAACAAAUAUGCAAAUCAUGAGAAGAAAAAACAAAAACCUUUUCGAUUACUUUAGGACUACGACCUGUAGACUCUUCUUCAAGCAUAGCUUCAGAAAAUCUAGUACCGUGCACACAUGGCACAUCCUUAAAUAUAUGAACACUUCAUCAAUAAAAAUUUAGUACUUAUGAAAAUCCAGAAAGCUAGAUUGCCAAAAGUUGAAGCAGUCAUAGUUGUUUUGUUUUAGAAACGUACAUACACAAAAUUUCAGAAGCAAAAUACGCGAAAUCAAAUUAGAAUCUAAAAAUUAAAAGAAAAUACCGACUGAAAUUGUCUUCAAAUCGAUAGCGUUGUGCAGAAAAGAAACACGGAUUCUUCUAAAAAUUGUGUCGUUGAGGUGUAUAUGAAAUACACAUGGAGUUUUCAAAAGAAUAUAUGUAGUAAUCGUUUUCAAAUUUGGAAUUGAAUAAGUUGGUGCCAAAAUAAAUUCGGGGCAAUUGAUACGUAUCCUAAAAAUUUAGGAAUUAGAUUACUAAUUAGAAAAUGAAAGUAUCAACAUAAUUUAUUUACAUCUAAAAGAAAAUUCAAGAAAAAUUACAUGUGUUUCUAGAAAAUAAAAGAAUUUUUUUUUUAAAACUAUUAGAAAAUGCCAAGUGUACAGAAAGGUGCAUCUAGCAACUGGUACCCUAUGGAUUUCAUAUUGUGUAGUUAAAAAACUUAUUCUUAGCUUAUAUAUAAACAAUGUGAUUUAAUUAAAAAUUAAAAUAAAUAAUAAGUUAGCUGAAAAAUAUAAAAUAAUACAAAAAAAAAAACUAAAAAAAGAUUCAGUGUUAUAUAUAUAAUUAAAACCCAACCGGAUUAUGAACAAUAGUAACGUGUUCAAGCAUGCUUGGAUCUGGAGCCAUUGACUUCUCUUUGAAGUUAUGGGAUUUUGUUAUUGAUUUAGAACGAGCAUAGAGGUGUUGAAAGAGGGCAAAGUAAGCAGCCGUAUAAGGGCUAAUUAUUUUGGGACCAACUUUUUUUUAUUAUAUUUUAUAUGUAUGUAUAUUUAUUUAAAAAUAAAAAGCUUAUAAUCCAGACUCGGGAAUCUGAGCAUAAAUAAAUUCGCACUCCACCAUCGCAACCUUCUUCACAUAUAAUGAAAACGCUGGAAAAAAAAAACAACCGUUAUCCAACGUCAAUUUCCUUUAUUACCUCAAACUUCAAACAUCACAAUCAUCCCCUUUAUCAGGUCUUAAUGGAGAUACUCGAAAUAUGGAGCAGUGAGGCCCGAAUAUGAAGAAUUUUUUCCAAUAUGAUUACAUGUUGUCUAGGGUUUUCUUUUCCUUAUCCGAAAUCAUGAUUGAAAGAAGUAGGUAGAGAUGGAGGAAGACGAAAGUUGGAAUUUGAAGCAAAAAUCAGUUAAUUUGAAGUAGAUUGCUUCUGCCUACUUGUGAUUGAUUAUGUUUGAACGUGGAAAAUCCCUUGUGGCUUUUGGUGUAUUCAUCAACAAUAAACAAUUCCACUCCUCUCGGAAGAGCUUUAGAUUCUGAUCCUCUGUACAUGUUUGAAUCUGGAUAUAUUAUUCCUUGCUUAAAAAAAUCAUGCCUUUUUCCGAUUAUGUUGCAUCAACAAUUUUGUCUAAUUACUUACGCCAUGCACAUAUUAAAAAAUCUGGAUGUAUUAAAAACAAUUAGUUACGCCAUGCACAUAUUAAGUAGAAUUGUUUUUUUAUA
This is a non-coding RNA of Lactuca sativa (garden lettuce), 5028 nucleotides long. The record is from RefSeq and is a predicted model, not a curated record. NCBI's taxonomy places the organism in Eukaryota, Viridiplantae, Streptophyta, Magnoliopsida, Asterales, Asteraceae.